GAUGAACGCUGGCGGGAGGCUUAACACAUGCAAGUCGAGGGGCAGCAUAGGGUAGCAAUACUCUGAUGGCGACCGGCAAACGGGUGAGUAACGCGUAUGCAACCUACCCUGUACAGGGGGAUAACCCGGAGAAAUUCGGACUAAUAUCCCGUAAUAAUAUCCGGAGGCAUCUUUGGAUAUUUAAAGUUCCGACGGUACGGGAUGGGCAUGCGUAACAUUAACUGGUUGGUAAGGUAACGGCUUACCAAGGCUAUGAUGUUUAGGGGUCCUGAGAGGGUGGUCCCCCACACUGGUACUGAGACACGGACCAGACUCCUACGGGAGGCAGCAGUGAGGAAUAUUGGUCAAUGGGCGCAAGCCUGAACCAGCCAUCCCGCGUGCAGGAAGACGGCCCUAUGGGUUGUAAACUGCUUUUCCAGGGAGAGAAACUUACGCACGUGUUGCGUGACUGACGGUACCCUGGGAAUAAGCAUCGGCUAACUCCGUG
This 487-nucleotide ribosomal RNA is filed under the name uncultured bacterium. Its description in RNAcentral is "bacterial SSU rRNA". It matches the Rfam family "Bacterial small subunit ribosomal RNA", at positions 28 to 507 of the family's 1533-position model. The record is from RNAcentral.